This 419-nucleotide ribosomal RNA is filed under the name uncultured archaeon. RNAcentral's name for it is "bacterial SSU rRNA". It matches the Rfam family "Archaeal small subunit ribosomal RNA", at positions 584 to 997 of the family's 1478-position model. The record is from RNAcentral.
UGCGUAGACUUGGAACCGGGAGAGGUAAGAGGUACUACAGGGGUAGGAGUGAAAGUCUUGUAAAUCCCGUGUGGGACCACCUGUGGCGAAGGCGUCUUACCAGAACGGGUUCGACGGUGAGGACGAAAGCUGGGGGCAACGAACCGGAUUAGACUACCCGGGUAGUCCCAGCCGUAAACGAUGCUCGCUAGGUGUCAGGCAUGGCGCGACCGUGUCUGGUGCCGCAGGGAAGCCGUGAAGCGAGCCACCUGGGAAGUACGGCCGCAAGGCUGAAACUUAAAGGAAUUGGCGGGGGAGCACAACAACGGGUGGAGCCCUGCGGUUUAAUUGGACUCAACGCCGGACAACUCACCGGGGGCGACAGCAAUAUGUAGGCCAAGCUGAAGACUUUGCCUGAAUCGCUGAGAAGUGGUGCAUGG